Non-coding RNA from Peromyscus maniculatus bairdii (prairie deer mouse), 477 nucleotides. Lineage: Eukaryota; Metazoa; Chordata; Mammalia; Rodentia; Cricetidae. The record is from RefSeq and is a predicted model, not a curated record.
CUGAGGAGGAGACACUGCCAACUGCCACCAUGAUAAGCAGCAUGUGAAGAUGCCGUCCUAGGAGCUGGAAUGAAUUCAAGCUCAAGUCAACAUACCCAGGAAGGAUCUGAGACACAGCAAGAUGGGUGACUCAUCCAAGGUCAGGAAGAAGGGAGGUGACAUGUAAGAAGAAAAGAAACAGUGCGUAAGUAAUUCCUCAGUAGGUUUCAGAAAGAUUUAGGCUAUAAAUGCCGAAGGCAAGCAUUCACAUUCUUACCAGCCACAAGGGAUAAGAAAUGCAUGCAAAGCACCUAAGGCCAGCGACAGCGCACGUCGUGGUGAAGCCACCUCAGGGGUGUAUUUCAGCCUCUUUGUCCAUAAGACAGGGACACUAUCAUCUUCCUCAAGCACCCUCAGCAAGUGAGGGCCAACUAGAAUGAGAAAACCAUCCCAGGAGAAGGCCGUCCCAGCCACACAGGUGUCUUUACUUAAAAACAA